This 63-nucleotide microRNA precursor is filed under the name Danio rerio (zebrafish). Its description in RNAcentral is "Dre-Mir-181-P1b2_pre stem-loop". It matches the Rfam family "mir-181 microRNA precursor family", at positions 12 to 73 of the family's 83-position model. From Rfam's summary of the family: In this case the mature sequence comes from the 5' arm of the precursor. The extents of the hairpin precursors are not generally known and are estimated based on hairpin prediction. Lineage: Eukaryota; Metazoa; Chordata; Actinopteri; Cypriniformes; Danionidae. The record is from RNAcentral. RNAcentral also lists the same sequence under 1 other name.
AACAUUCAACGCUGUCGGUGAGUUUUGCGCUUCUGUAACAAACCAUCGACCGUUGACUGUACC